RNAcentral lists this ribosomal RNA (301 nucleotides) under uncultured bacterium. Its description in RNAcentral is "partial 16S ribosomal RNA". It matches the Rfam family "Bacterial small subunit ribosomal RNA", at positions 509 to 808 of the family's 1533-position model. The record is from RNAcentral.
CAGCAGCCGCGGUAAGACAGAGGAUGCAAGCGUUAUCCGGGAUGAUUGGGCGUAAAGCGUCUGUAGGUGGCUUUUCAAGUCCGCCGUCAAAUCCCAGGGCUCAACCCUGGACAGGCGGUGGAAACUACCAAGCUGGAGUACGGUAGGGGCAGAGGGAAUUUCCGGUGGAGCGAUGAAAUGCGUUGAGAUCGGAAAGAACACCAACGGUGAAAGCACUCUGCUGGGCCGACACUGACACUGAGAGACGAAAGUUAGGGGAGAAAAUGGGAUUAGAUACCCGUGUAGUCCCUGUCUCUUAUAC